Molecule: transfer RNA, 73 nt
Filed under: Mustela putorius furo (domestic ferret)
Lineage: Eukaryota; Metazoa; Chordata; Mammalia; Carnivora; Mustelidae
Also listed under: 1 other name
Rfam family: tRNA
About the family: Transfer RNA (tRNA) molecules are approximately 80 nucleotides in length. Their secondary structure includes four short double-helical elements and three loops (D, anti-codon, and T loops).
Source: Rfam by way of RNAcentral
ACCUGACUGGCUCAGUAGGUAGAGCAUGAGACUCUUGAUCUGAGGGUCAUGAGUUCAGACCCCAUGUUGGAUG